UCCUACGGGAGGCAGCAGUAGGGAAUCUUCCGCAAUGGACGAAAGUCUGACGGAGCAACGCCGCGUGAGUGAUGAAGGCUUUCGGGUCGUAAAACUCUGUUGUUAGGGAAGAACAAGUGCUAGUUGAAUAAGCUGGCACCUUGACGGUACCUAACCAGAAAGCCACGGCUAACUACGUGCCAGCAGCCGCGGUAAUACGUAGGUGGCAAGCGUUAUCCGGAAUUAUUGGGCGUAAAGCGCGCGCAGGUGGUUUCUUAAGUCUGAUGUGAAAGCCCACGGCUCAACCGUGGAGGGUCAUUGGAAACUGGGAGACUUGAGUGCAGAAGAGGAAAGUGGAAUUCCAUGUGUAGCGGUGAAAUGCGUAGAGAUAUGGAGGAACACCAGUGGCGAAGGCGACUUUCUGGUCUGUAACUGACGCUGAGGCUCGAAAGCGUGGGGAGCAAACAGGAUUAGAUACCCUGGUAGUCCACGCCGUAAACGAUGAGUGCUAGGUGUUAGGCCCUUUCCGGGGCUUAGUGCCGGAGCUAACGCAUUAAGCACUCCGCCUGGGGAGUACGACCGCAAGGUUGAAACUCAAAGG
RNAcentral lists this ribosomal RNA (580 nucleotides) under uncultured bacterium. Its description in RNAcentral is "bacterial SSU rRNA". It matches the Rfam family "Bacterial small subunit ribosomal RNA", at positions 337 to 907 of the family's 1533-position model. The record is from RNAcentral.